UUGAACGCUGGCGGCAUGCUUUACACAUGCAAGUCGAACGGUAACAGGCCUUCGGGUGCUGACGAGUGGCGAACGGGUGAGUAAUGCAUCGGAACGUACCCAGAGGUGGGGGAUAACGCAGCGAAAGCUGUGCUAAUACUGCAUGUGAUCUGAGGAUGAAAGCGGGGGACCGAGCAGCAAUGUUUGGCCUCGCGCCUUUGGAGCGGCCGAUGUCGGAUUAGCUAGUUGGUGGGGUAAAGGCCUACCAAGGCGACGAUCCGUAGCUGGUCUGAGAGGACGACCAGCCACACUGGGACUGAGACACGGCCCAGACUCCUACGGGGGGCAGCAGUGGGGAAUUUUGGACAAUGGGCGCAAGCCUGAUCCAGCAAUGCCGCGUGCGGGAAGAAGGCCUUCGGGUUGUAAACCGCUUUUGGCAGGAACGAAACGGUGUCCGCUAAUACCGGGCGCUAAUGACGGUACCUGCAGAAUAAGCACCGGCUAACUACG
This 489-nucleotide ribosomal RNA is filed under the name uncultured bacterium. Its description in RNAcentral is "partial 16S ribosomal RNA". It matches the Rfam family "Bacterial small subunit ribosomal RNA", at positions 29 to 505 of the family's 1533-position model. The record is from RNAcentral.